UACGGAGGGGGCUAGCGUUGUUCGGAAUUACUGGGCGUAAAGCGCGCGUAGGCGGCUUUGUAAGUCAGGGGUGAAAUCCCGGGGCUCAACCCCGGAACCGCCUUUGAUACUGGGCGUCUGGAGUCCGGAAGAGGUUGGUGGAAUUCCGAGUGUAGAGGUGAAAUUCGUAGAUAUUCGGAGGAACACCAGAGGCGAAGGCGGCCAACUGGUCCGGUACUGACGCUGAGGCGCGAAAGCGUGGGGAGCAAACAGG
This 253-nucleotide ribosomal RNA is filed under the name uncultured bacterium. RNAcentral describes it as "partial 16S ribosomal RNA". It matches the Rfam family "Bacterial small subunit ribosomal RNA", at positions 524 to 776 of the family's 1533-position model. The record is from RNAcentral.